CUACGGGACGCUGCAGUGGGGAAUAUUGGACAAUGGGCGAAAGCCUGAUCCAGCAAUGCCGCGUGAGUGAAGAAGGCCUUAGGGUUGUAAAACUCUUUCAGCAGGGAAGAUAAUGACGGUACCUGCAGAAGAAGCACCGGCUAACUCCGUGCCAGCAGCCGCGGUAAUACGGAGGGUGCUAGCGUUGUGCGGAAUUACUGGGCGUAAAGCGCGCGUAGGCGGUUAUGUAAGUUGGGAGUGAAAUCCCGGGGCUCAACCUCGGAACUGCUCUCAAAACUAUGUGACUAGAGAAUGGUAGGGGAAAGUGGAAUUCUUAGUGUAGAGGUGAGAUUCGUAGAUAUUGAGAGGAACACCAGUGGCGAAGGCGACUUUCUGGACCAUUUCUGACGCUAAGGCGCGAAAGCGUGGGGAGCGAACAGGAUUAGAUACCCGAGUAGUC
Molecule: ribosomal RNA, 439 nt
Filed under: uncultured bacterium
Lineage: Bacteria
Description: partial 16S ribosomal RNA
Rfam family: Bacterial small subunit ribosomal RNA
Source: RNAcentral